GAAUAUUGCGCAAUGGGGGAAACCCUGACGCAGCGACGCCGCGUGGAGGACGAAGGCCUUCGGGUCGUAAACUCCUGUCAAGAGGGACGAAAGCCGCGGGGAUGAAUGAGCCCUGCGGUUGACGGUACCCCUGGAGGAAGCCCCGGCUAACUCCGUCCCAGCAGCCGCGGUAAUACGGAGGGGGCCAGCGUUGUUCGGAAUCAUUGGGCGUAAAGGGCGCGUAGGCGGCCAAGCAAGUCGGAGGUGAAAUCCCUCGGCUCAACCGGGGAACUGCCCCCGAUACUGCUUGGCUCGAGUCCCGGAGAGGGUAGUGGAAUUCCCAGUGUAGCGGUGAAAUGCGUAGAUAUUGGGAGGAACACCGGUGGCGAAGGCGGCUACCUGGACGGGUACUGACGCUGAGGCGCGAAAGCGUGGGGAGCAAACAGG
Molecule: ribosomal RNA, 426 nt
Filed under: uncultured bacterium
Lineage: Bacteria
Description: bacterial SSU rRNA
Rfam family: Bacterial small subunit ribosomal RNA
Source: RNAcentral